AGUGAACGCUGGCGGUAGGCCUAACACAUGCAAGUCGAACGGCAGCACAGUAAGAGCUUGCUCUUACGGGUGGCGAGUGGCGGACGGGUGAGGAAUACAUCGGAAUCUACUUUUUCGUGGGGGAUAACGUAGGGAAACUUACGCUAAUACCGCAUACGACCUACGGGUGAAAGCAGGGGAUCUUCGGACCUUGCGCGAUUGAAUGAGCCGAUGUCGGAUUAGCUAGUUGGCGGGGUAAAGGCCCACCAAGGCGACGAUCCGUAGCUGGUCUGAGAGGAUGAUCAGCCACACUGGAACUGAGACACGGUCCAGACUCCUACGGGAGGCAGCAGUGGGGAAUAUUGGACAAUGGGCGCAAGCCUGACCCAGCCAUACCGCGUGGGUGAAGAAGGCCUUCGGGUUGUAAAGCCCUUUUGUUGGGAAAGAAAAGCAGCAGGUUAAUACCACGCUGUUCUGACGGUACCCAAAGAAUAAGCACCGGCUAACUUCGUG
This 492-nucleotide ribosomal RNA is filed under the name uncultured bacterium. Its description in RNAcentral is "partial 16S ribosomal RNA". It matches the Rfam family "Bacterial small subunit ribosomal RNA", at positions 29 to 507 of the family's 1533-position model. The record is from RNAcentral.